Aedes aegypti (yellow fever mosquito) is the source of this 1471-nucleotide long non-coding RNA. RefSeq lists it as uncharacterized. The record is from RefSeq and is a predicted model, not a curated record. NCBI's taxonomy places the organism in Eukaryota, Metazoa, Arthropoda, Insecta, Diptera, Culicidae. The transcript is spliced from 4 exons.
CUCUGCCGGUUGAGGGCACCGGCCUUCCUCCGGUGGAGCUCUGCCUUGUUCUGACACCAACAACAAGCACUGAUUACCUGCGUUGCGUUUGCGUGACGCAUCCACAGAUCCGACAGGGUUUGGAUUCCGCACAAGGGUUCUUCAACCCUUAAAUAGCCGCGUAUUCAAACUAGCCGAUCAUACGCUCCUUGCCUUCGUCACAUCCGUUCCAUCCAAGCAGUGUGGAAGAGGAAGUGAGAUUUGGCAGAUUACUGGUUCCGGUUCAAUCUUCUGAACCAACCGCGAAACCUUCGCCAAUCGAUGAUAUCCGUAAUGGAUUGUCUUCUUAUUCUCGCAGUCGGGGCAUCUCUGCCGGUUGAGGGCACCGGCCUUCCUCCGGUGGAGCUCUGCCUUGUUCUGACACCAACAACAAGCACUGAUUACCUGCGUUGCGUUUGCGUGACGCAUCCACAGAUCCGACAGAGUUUGGAUUCCGCACAAGGGUUCUUCAACCCUUAAAUAGCCGCGUAUUCAAACUAGCCGAUCAUACGCUCCUUGCCUUCGUCACAUCCGUUCCAUCCAAGCAGUGUAGAAGAGGAAGUGAGAUUUGGCAGAUUACUGGUUCCGGUUCAAUCUUCUGAACCAACCGCGAAACCUUCGCCAAUCGAUGAUAUCCGUAAUGGAUUGUCUUCUUAUUCUCGCAGUCGGGGCAUCUCUGCCGGUUGAGGGCACCGGCCUUCCUCCGGUGGAGCUCUGCCUUGUUCUGACACCAACAACAAGCACUGAUUACCUGCGUUGCGUUUGCGUGACGCAUCCACAGAUCCGAUAGAGUUUGGAUUCCGCACAAGGGUUCUUCAACCCUUAAAUAGCCGCGUAUUCAAACUAGCCGAUCAUACGCUCCUUGCCUUCGUCACAUCCGUUCCAUCCAAGCAGUGUGGAAGAGGAAGUGAGAUUUGGCAGAUUACUGGUUCCGGUUCAAUCUUCUGAACCAACCGCGAAACCUUCGCCAACCGAUGAUAUCCGUAAUGGAUUGUCUUCUUAUUCUCGCAGUCGGGGCAUCUCUGCCGGUUGAGGGCACCGGCCUUCCUCCGGUGGAGCUCUGCCUUGUUCUGACACCAACAAGCACUGAUUACCUGCGUUGCGUUUGCGUGACGCAUCCACAGAUCCGACAGAGUUUGGAUUUCGUCAGUCAGUGAUCUGUCUGGCCCUCAUCGACUCUGCCUUGUUGAUCAUCACUGAUUAUAGCCCACACGAAAAUCGACCCUUGAACUUGUUUGGAAUAAUAUUCCCUGUUGAAUAUCAUAGUCGAUGGAUUAAUUCUAUCGGUGUUGCAGUUUUGACCUAAACAAACGGCCCUUUUCAGGGCCACCAAUAUGUUAAAGAGUUGACGAAUAAAUAUAUUCCCUAGCAAAUAAAUUAUAAACCCAAAACUGCUGCACAAUAUCGUACCCUAAAUGUUACAAAUACGUAAUUAGAAAUUAUAAAUGUUGAG